Molecule: ribosomal RNA, 433 nt
Filed under: uncultured bacterium
Lineage: Bacteria
Description: partial 16S ribosomal RNA
Rfam family: Bacterial small subunit ribosomal RNA
Source: RNAcentral
AACGAACGCUGGCGGCAUGCCUAACACAUGCAAGUCGAACGAGACCUCCGGGUCUAGUGGCGCACGGGUGCGUAACGCGUGGGAACCUGCCCUUAGGUUCGGAACAACUCCCCGAAAGGGGUGCUAAUACCGGAUAAUGUCUUCGGACCAAAGAUUUAUCGCCUUUGGAUGGGCCCGCGUUGGAUUAGCUAGUUGGUAGGGUAAAAGCCUGCCAAGGCGACGAUCCAUAGCUGGUCUGAGAGGAUGAUCAGCCACACUGGGACUGAGACACGGCCCAGACUCCUACGGGAGACAGCAGUAGAGAAUAUUGGACAAUGGGCGAAGGCCUAAUCCAGCAAUGCCGCGUGAGUGAUGAAGGCCUUAGGGUUGUAAAGCUCUUUUACCCGAGAUGAUAAUGACAGUACCGGGAGAAUAAGCUCCGGCUAACUCCGUG